RNAcentral lists this transfer RNA (101 nucleotides) under Propionibacteriaceae bacterium. RNAcentral's name for it is "tRNA-Asn". The record is from RNAcentral. Lineage: Bacteria; Bacillati; Actinomycetota; Actinomycetes; Propionibacteriales; Propionibacteriaceae.
CCUUCCGAAGAAUGGUCUAAUGAAUGGUACAGCCCCCUUACACGCGCGUGAGCAUCUGACUGUUAAUCAGAGGGUUCCUGGUUCGAGUCCAGGCGGGGGAG